This 253-nucleotide ribosomal RNA is filed under the name uncultured bacterium. RNAcentral describes it as "partial 16S ribosomal RNA". It matches the Rfam family "Bacterial small subunit ribosomal RNA", at positions 524 to 776 of the family's 1533-position model. The record is from RNAcentral.
UACGAAGGGUGCAAGCGUUGCUCGGAAUUAUUGGGCGUAAAGGGUAGGUAGGUGGUGACAAAAGUCUAGGGUGAAAUCCCUGAGCUCAACUCAGGACGUGCCUUGGAAACUUUGUCACUAGAGUGCUGGAGAGGUUCGUAGAAUUCCUGGUGUAGCGGUGAAAUGCGUAGAGAUCAGGAGGAAUACCAGAGGCGAAGGCGACGAACUGGACAGUGACUGACACUCAACUACGAAAGCGUGGGGAGCAAACAGG